AAGAGAAAGGAAGAAGAAACAAAAAAAUUUAAACUUAACUUUUUACCAAAAAAAAAAAUUUAAACUUCACUCUAAAACGAAGUCGUCUUGAGUUAUUUUUUUUCCCACAAACCCAUUUUUAAACGACGUCGUUCUCUAUCCUCUUUGCUGGCACAACAGUUCAGUCAUCAUUCAUAACAAAGAAAGAUAACACUAUUUGCAUCAAUGUAUGAAUUAACAACAUUUUUAUACUUCAGGUAUGCAUAUUUCAUGAAACAGUACUGCAUGUAUGUAAACGUACGGUUCUUA
This 288-nucleotide long non-coding RNA is filed under the name Brassica napus (rape). RNAcentral's name for it is "long non-coding RNA (BNAP_LNC021702)". Lineage: Eukaryota; Viridiplantae; Streptophyta; Magnoliopsida; Brassicales; Brassicaceae. The record is from RNAcentral.